UGAAUAUAGUCGCCCCCGAAAGCAUUUCUCAUUUCCAUAUAUCCUGUUUCACAUCUCUCUCUGUAUUAUACAUAAUAACAGGUGGCAGGUUUAAAGAACUCUUAACCGUGAUCCAAUGAAUGUGCUGCUGGUGCCUUAUGUUUGUACUUUUGGUUGGAAUGACAAUGAACGACAUUUCUUGUCGUCUCUCUUGACCUACAGUUAACAGAUGCAGGAACAAGGAGAAACAGACAAACACUUGGAUUACCCAGAAGAAGCACCAGAUCUCAGUAAGCCUGAAGUUUGUGAAGGGGUUGAGCUGAGCAGUGAGUCCUCUGCCCUUGUAAAGUGUCAGCAGUGUUUGUUCUAUGUGGAUUCUAAACUCAAGGAGCUUGGUCGAUCAAAUGCCAGCCACAACCAAUGCUCCCUCCAAGUAAAGGGGUCAGAGCUGCCUGGGUGGAAGCCCAGAGGGCUGUGGUCAAAGGUCACCGUCCAGUGUCAUUAUGAAGAAGAGAAGAAGAAAAGGCAAUACCAUGACAUAAUUAUGUUUUUAUGUAGCUGCCUCACACUUUUCCUCCACUUUGCCACCAUAGUGCUUUUUUGGUUUUCUGUGCAUAAACAGUACAGUGGGCUGGCACACAACAUAUAAGCAUGUUAUAAAUGAGUAACCGUUGGAAUUGUGGUUUAUUGAAAGGAUUUGAUGAUUUGAUGUUUCCUUUCAAAUAGUCAUUUGUCCUCAUCCCUUUGUUACAAUAACAGGAAGGUGAAGAUGAUUUGUGCUAUGCCACCUUGUCCCAUGCUGGUGCUCCUCCAUCCUACUCAGUCAAGUUUGAACAAGGCCAUGACUAUGCCACAGUGGUCAUAUACUGACCAGCAUUGCCGAACUGAAUGGACAUGAAAGGACUUCCAAAUGGAUAGAUUGCUUGACUUUAACACCUACAUUUCAAUUUUCUUUCCAAGAAAUCAUUUGCAUAAAUCUAUUUGCAAUGUAGUUUUGAUUAUCCAAUUUGUCACAUUAAGAGAACAAUAAAGUUUUUGUAUUCCAC
This is a long non-coding RNA of Oncorhynchus tshawytscha (Chinook salmon), 1025 nucleotides long. NCBI's taxonomy places the organism in Eukaryota, Metazoa, Chordata, Actinopteri, Salmoniformes, Salmonidae. The record is from Ensembl.